This is a ribosomal RNA of Danio rerio (zebrafish), 125 nucleotides long. Lineage: Eukaryota; Metazoa; Chordata; Actinopteri; Cypriniformes; Danionidae. The record is from Ensembl.
AAUGACAGUCAUAUCACCCUGCAGCCCAGUAUUACAGUUUCGGUUACUCACUGAAGCUGAGCAGGGCUGAGCCUGGUCAGUAUCUAGAUGGGAGAAUACAUGGGAAAACUAGGUUGCUGUUGAAA